UCGUCUAUAUACGUAUAGCAUAUCAAUAAGCGGAGGAAAAGAAACUAACUAGGAUUCCCUCAGUAACGGCGAGUGAAGCGGGAAGAGCUCAAAUUUGAAAUCUUCAAGGUUCUACCUUGACGAAUUGUAGUUUAAAGAAGUGUUUCCUGUUGGAGUUUCGGUAAAAGUUCUUUGGAAUAGGACAUCAUAGAGGGUGAGAAUCCCGUAUUUGACCGUUACUUUCCAGCUGUGUGAUACACUUUCAAAGAGUUGGAUUGUUUGGGAAUGCAGUCCAAAAUGGGUGGUAAAUUUCAUCUAAAGCUAAAUAUUGGCGAGAGACCGAUAGCGAACAAGUACCGUGAGGGAAAGAUGAAAAGAACUUUGAAAAGAGAGUUAAACAGUACGUGAAAUUGUCAAAAGGGAAGCGUUUGACACCAGUGUUGUUUAGUUGAAAAUCAAUUCAAUAAUUUUUGAUUUUAAGUAGUAUUGACUUCAUCAGCUUGCUGCUUUCUUUUCAGGAAUUAUUGAAUGCACUUUACAGUUAACAAGUCAACAUCAAUUUCUUUUGUUGUAAAAGGGUAAGAGGAAGGUGGCUUACGCUUCGGCGUAAGUGUUUAUAGCCUUUUACCUCUGCAAUCGGAGAGAUUGAGGUCUGCAGCGUAGAUCCUUCGGGGUUAGAUACACUUGUGCUAGGCUAUAGCCUUGUAUAGACAACUUGUUGACUAUGCUCAGUCAUGUAGCUUACUCGCUUGUGCUAUUUUACCUACGCUUAGGAUGUUGACACACGCGCGUGCUCG
Molecule: ribosomal RNA, 776 nt
Filed under: uncultured Neocallimastigales
Lineage: Eukaryota; Fungi; Neocallimastigomycota; Neocallimastigomycetes; Neocallimastigales
Description: partial large subunit ribosomal RNA
Rfam family: Eukaryotic large subunit ribosomal RNA
Source: RNAcentral